GACCAGGCUGAUGGGAGAAGAGGGCCGACUGGCAGAUGACACACAGGAGGCAGAGCACCGCUACUCAAUGACCCUUUCUGACAUCUGGGAGAGGAGAAGUCUGUCCCACUAGAGGGCAGUGGAGUCUUCCCUGAACCUAGGCUAGUGGGUCCCUGCUGCUCACCGAGUACACAUGUGAGGUUGGCGGGAUGUCAUAGUCACUGGGCUCCGAGAACUCAGCUGCGGCCCCACAGCUCUUGGUGCCGCUUUCCAUGUCAUAGAGCUGACCAUCCUUGGAGGCUUUGUGGAUCUCGGCCACCUAAAGAGGAACAGGCAGGGAGACCAUGGCACUCACAAGCUACUGCUUAACCCUAUCCCGACCCUCCAAUCCUGCCCUGCUUAUCAGAUGCGGGGUGUGUGUGUGUGUUGGGGGGGCCUGAGUUCCCACUGGGAUGGCCACACCUCCAGUCAGCAGAUGAGCUUUACUGGUGUCAGUGGCUCCAGGGCCAGCAGGCUGGCAGAUGGCCUCUGAGUAUGAAGAGGCCACCGUGCCUUAUCCUAAUCCCAUGAGCGCGUACUACCUGCCUUGCACCCUUGGCUUACCUUCUUCAGGACACUGGCCUUGUACAGAUUGACCAUCUUGGCAUUCCGGAAUGUCUCAUGCUCCAGUUCCACAGCCUUGGCCUGCAGGUCAGCUCUGUGGGAAGAAACAAGCACAGGAGAGCAGGCGGGGCUCGUGAGGAUGGGCACAUGGACUCGGCUGAGAAUCCUCUAGGAGCCCUGCGGCUUACUGUCUGUCCUUUAGCAGCCUCUGAUGCACACCCAGUAGGGCUGUAAGGAGUGGGACCCAUGGGACACCACUGCAGAGGCAUCCUCUGGAGGAGAGGAGGCCUCUCCCUCUCUCCCUCCCUCAGAGGACGCCUUGCUCCCUGCCCUGGUGACCUCGGCACGCUCACCCAUGAGUGGAGCCUGCAGCCUGAUGGUUACUGAUCAGAGCCUCCUCCAGAAGUCGCAGGCAGUGCUCACGGGCCUAUGAGAGUGAAGUCAUGGUCACCCCCCCUCAGCGGCAGGGAGGGGCCCUGAGGGCAAGUGAAGAGCUGCCCCUCUCUUACCUUCACUGUGAGCUUCGGGAUCUUCCUGCUUGAAGCCUCUCUCAGGGGACAGUCUUCAUCUGAGAAAAGGGAGGGGAAGGCUCUCCAUCUGAGCAGCUCCUGGAAGCCUUACCGAGCCCCCCACGGUCUACCCCCAGGCACAACACCCAAGCCCCCGGAGCAUUUCUGCACUAACCUGGGGGCGUGAAUUCUUCUAUCUUGGGCUCUUUGCCCUGAAAGAUAGUCAGCAGGAGGGACAUGAGACAUCCUAUCCUGCUGCAAGGCUGGAGAAGGGACUGAGAGGUGGUACUCAGGGGACCAUCCAAACCCUGCAUGGGCCACUGUGCUGUUUUUUGUUUUUUGGGGGGGCAGUGCAUUUCAGACAGAGUUCUGCUAUGUAGUCAGUCUCUGGCCUUGUACUCCAGCCUCUGCCUCCUAAGUGCUAGGACUGGAGUCAUGUGUCACCACGCUGGCUUAGGCUUUUUGUUAACUUGAUAGAAACUAGAGUCGUCUGGGAAGACGGAUCCUCAGCUGAGGAACUGCCUCCCGGCAGACUGGUCUGUGGGGACAUUUUCCUGAUGGACGUGUAAGGGCCCAGGUUACUAUGGGCUGUGGUAAGUGGUCCUGGUUGUAGAGGACAGCAAACUGAGCAAGGGAACAGCACUCUUCCACGGUCUCUGCCUCAAUUCUGCCUCCAGGUCCCUGCUGGAGCUCCUGCCCCGACUUCCCCUGAUGCUGCACUGUGAUGUGGAAGUGUCAAGCAAAUAAACCCUCUCCUUCCCAUG
RNAcentral lists this long non-coding RNA (1855 nucleotides) under Mus musculus (house mouse). RNAcentral's name for it is "long non-coding RNA chr11:115894832-115896687". Lineage: Eukaryota; Metazoa; Chordata; Mammalia; Rodentia; Muridae. The record is from RNAcentral.